ACGAACGCUGGCGGCGUGCUUAACACAUGCAAGUCGAGCGGUAAGGCCCUUCGGGUACGACGAGCGGCGAACGGGUGAGUAACACGUGGGUGACCUGCCUCUAGCUCUGGGAUAAGCCUGGGAAACUAGGGUCGUAAUACCGGAUAUGACUCCACGGCGCAUGUUGUGGGGUGGAAAGCCUUGUGUGGCUAGAGAUGGGCCCGCGGCCUAUCAGCUUGUUGGUGGGGUGAUGGCCUACCAAGGCGACGACGGGUAGCCGGCCUGAGAGGGCGACCGGCCACACUGGGACUGAGACACGG
This 299-nucleotide ribosomal RNA is filed under the name uncultured bacterium. Its description in RNAcentral is "partial 16S ribosomal RNA". It matches the Rfam family "Bacterial small subunit ribosomal RNA", at positions 29 to 329 of the family's 1533-position model. The record is from RNAcentral.